AACGCGAAGAACCUUACCGAGGCUUGACAUCCCUUGAAAGCCGUAGAAAUACGGUUUCCGUGGCAACACGGCAAGGAGACAGGUGCUGCAUGGCUGUCGUCAGCUCGUGCCGUGAGGUGUUGGGUUAAGUCCCGCAACGAGCGCAACCCUCGUUUUGUGUUGGUCCGCAAGGAUCUCUCACAAGAGACCGCCGGUGAGAAGCCGGAGGAAGGUGGGGAUGACGUCAAGUCAGCAUGGCCCUUACGUCUCGGGCUACACACGUGCUACAAUGGGUGCGACAACGAGUCCCAAACUCGCAAGGGUAAGGCAAUCUCUCAAACGCAUCCUCAGUUCGGAUUGAAGGCUGCAACUCGCCUUCAUGAAGUCGGAAUCGCUAGUAAACGCAGAUCAGCUACGCUGCGUUGAAUACGUUCCCGGGCCUUGUA
Molecule: ribosomal RNA, 425 nt
Filed under: uncultured delta proteobacterium
Lineage: Bacteria; Deltaproteobacteria
Also listed under: 1 other name
Description: bacterial SSU rRNA
Rfam family: Bacterial small subunit ribosomal RNA
Source: RNAcentral